Pecten maximus is the source of this 337-nucleotide long non-coding RNA. RefSeq lists it as uncharacterized. The record is from RefSeq and is a predicted model, not a curated record. The transcript has 4 exons. NCBI's taxonomy places the organism in Eukaryota, Metazoa, Mollusca, Bivalvia, Pectinida, Pectinidae.
GUCAACCAAACAACAUGGCUUCCUUGAUUGAAGCGUGACUCAAUACGAUGUCUUUUCAUCAGUACAUAUCAUGACUUCAUCACUAAUGUUCUACUAAGAACAUGCAUUUGAUACAGCAAUCAACGGUAGCGAAGGCAAGCUAGUAGUUGUAGACUUCUUUGCCGACUGGUGUGGACCAUGCAAGAUGAUUGCACCUAAAAUUGAGGCAUUUUCUAACGAGUUUACAAAUGUUGUAUUCCUGAAGGUUGACGUGGAUGAGUUAGAGGAUGUUGCUCAAGAUCAAAAUAUAACUGCAAUGCCAACAUUCCAAUUUUUCAAAAAUGGAACAAAGGUUUGU